GGCUGUGGUGUAGUGGUUAUCACGUCCUUCCCUCAUAUUGGACGUCGCAAGUUCGAAUCUCGGCAAGUUA
Molecule: transfer RNA, 70 nt
Filed under: Amborella trichopoda
Lineage: Eukaryota; Viridiplantae; Streptophyta; Magnoliopsida; Amborellales; Amborellaceae
Description: tRNA-Glu
Source: RNAcentral